UAUUUGUGUGCAUCAGUGUGGGAGGUAUGUGUGCACUUGUGUGCAUGUCAGUGUGUGGGGGGUGCGUGUGCACUCGUGUGUGUGGGGGAGAGGUGUGCAGUUGUGUGCAUGUCAGUGUGUGUGGGGGUAUGUGUGUGCAUAUGUCUGUGUGCGUGUCAACGUGUGGGGGUGGGGAGGAGGUAUGUGUGCACUUGUGUGUGGGGGGUGCGCGUGUGUCCGUGUGUGUGUGGGGGGGCAUGGGCGCACGUGUGUGCAUGCGCACGCUCGCGUUUAGGGAGUUGUUGCUUUGCUUUUGUUUUCUCCCCGCAGCAGAGCCCCCUGCGCUGGCCAAAGUUCAGCUCUGCAUUCGCAGCUCUUUGGGCCCUGCCUGGGCCGCUUCAGAGCCCGGCUCGCAGGGCUGCCCCGUGGCUGCGCCAGGCCCUGCCGAGCAGGAGCAGCCUUGGGCACGAUGGCACCAGGCCCCAGCACGACACGGACAGGGAGAUGCUGUGUUGCCUCAGCCGCUCGCUUUACACGAGCCUGCUCAUGUGUGCCACUGAGAGGUUUCAUGUGUGAAGUCUUAAAAAGAAAAAAACCACACAGUUGGCAAAUGAAAUUUUGUCCUGAAAUAUUGUGAGAAGACUCUCAGAAGAGCUGACAGUAGGAUCUGAAACUGCGAGGCGUUGGAGUGGCCCGGGGAAGCCUUUUGGGUCCUGUUCAUACGGACAAGUUUAGACAUGUCUGCCUGUCCGUGUUUACGGUCAAGUAUAACCAGCCACGUGCUCUGAGCAGAGAGGUCUGCCAGUUCCUGCUCACUAGUAUAGACUCUUUUAAACCAUCUUCAGUCCUAACUCUUUUGAAUGGCUAGUAUACUGUAAGACAUCCCGAGAAGGUGCAAAUAUUACUGUGUGUACUCUGUAUAUAAUUCAUGCAAAUAUUUCUUCAUGCAGUGAAUGCCCCAGCCGUGCUGGCAUCCUUGCCUCUUGUAUUUUUACUUAAAGGGGGUGCAUUUUAUUGAUAUGAAUGAAUAUGCUUUUAACUGAGUGAAGUUUUCUUAUAAAUUACAUAUAGAAAUUAUUGGCAUGAUUCCUUUUUUGUUUUGCAUUAGCUUGCUAGAAAACAUCCUGUGCAGCUUUAUUUUCCCCUGUGCACCAUUUAUAUAGCUAUUUUAUAUUGCAGUCACUCCUGGAAAAGCCCUCUUGUGCUAGGGCUUGCACACACAGACUCGAAGACAAUCCCUGUCCAGAGACCUUGUUGUCUCAUCUACCCUGUUCUUAGGUGACUGCCACCACCAUGGUACCCAAGCAUAUAUUUUUGCAUUAUUUAAAAAACAAUCAUUUACUUCCUUCAGUCUUUCCGUAUGUUUUCCUUCCAUUUCUGAUGUAGUGCACACCUGAUUUUUAGAUGGUUAGUUUGUUGGCUUGUUGAUUAUCAGUUUUUUUAAGCUAAUGCAGUUACUGUGUUUUCCACUAGCAUAUAGGUGGUCAGGAAUUAAUUACCAUCUCUCAUAACUGCUUCCACACUGAAGGGGCUGUAGUGUUUUAGCUAGGCUGAUACAGCUAACAAAUACACAAGCUUUCUCUUUAGACAAGGCCUACGUGAUUUGCUGUACUCUUCUAAAUCUGCAUCUGUGCAAUGGAGCAGCACAGGCUGUGAAACUUGGCUACAGCAAAAUCAGGAGGUCAGUCAUGCUGCAGUUGAAGUUGGUGGCCAUAUGUUCCCUUGGAGUGGGAUUAUGACUGAAUCUGAGCCUACUCAGCUGUGAGCUAGUCUCUGCUUUUAAUAGAAAAGGUUGGCAUCUUGUGUGACUUCUUCUCACUUGAAUGUGCCUUGCUCAGGUGCUGACUGCUUUAUAAAAUGGUUGUGGAUUGUAUCACAUCUGAAUCCUGUGUUUGCUGGCAUUCUCUUGCUUUCUUGCCUCUUACUUUAUUUUUUUUAAGCCUAGGCAUGGCUCAGUUCAAUAAAGUGUUUGAGCCUGCUCA
Crocodylus porosus (Australian saltwater crocodile) is the source of this 1961-nucleotide long non-coding RNA. The record is from Ensembl. NCBI's taxonomy places the organism in Eukaryota, Metazoa, Chordata, Crocodylia, Crocodylidae.